AUACACGCUGGCGGCGUGCUUCACACAUGCCAGUCGAACGAAGUUUUUCUUUCGGGAGGAACUUAGUGGCGGACGGGUGAGUAACGCGUGGGUAACCUGCCCUGUACAGGGGGACAACAGCUGGAAACGGCUGCUAAUACCGCAUAAGCCCUUAGCACUGCAUGGUGCAUAGGGAAAAGGAGCAAUCCGGUACAGGAUGGACCCGCGUCUGAUUAGCCAGUUGGCAGGGUAACGGCCUACCAAAGCGACGAUCAGUAGCCGAUCUGAGAGGAUGUACGGCCACAUUGGGACUGAGACACGGCCCAGACUCCUACGGGAGGCAGCAGUGGGGAAUAUUGCACAAUGGAGGAAACUCUGAUGCAGCGACGCCGCGUGAGUGAAGAAGUAUUUCGGUAUGUAAAGCUCUAUCAGCAGGAAAGAAAAUGACGGUACCUGACUAAGAAGCACCGGCUAAAUACGUG
This 461-nucleotide ribosomal RNA is filed under the name uncultured bacterium. RNAcentral's name for it is "partial 16S ribosomal RNA". It matches the Rfam family "Bacterial small subunit ribosomal RNA", at positions 33 to 507 of the family's 1533-position model. The record is from RNAcentral.